AGUCCAGCAAGAUGCCGGUGGAAGACGCAGCUCCUGGGCCUGCCAGAACAGGUAGCAAGGCCCUUGUGGCAAGCAGCUCACCGACCUUCUCCGGGUGUCUGUACCUUCCUGGGCAAGGCAUCAUCCUCUCACUGGCCCUGGCUGGCAUUCUUGGCAUCUGUAUUGUGGUGGUGGUGUCCAUUUGGCUUUUCAGAAGGAAGAGUAUCAAAAAAGGUGAUAACAAGGGAGUCAUUUACAAGCCAGCCACCAAGAUGGAGACUGAGGCCCACGCUUGAGGUCCCCGGAGCUCCCGGGCACAUCCAGGAAGGACCUUGCUUUGGACCCUACACACUUCGGCUCUCUGGACACUUGCGACACCUCAAGGUGUUCUCUGUAGCUCAAUCUGCAAACAUGCCAGGCCUCAGGGAUCCUCUGCUGGGUGCCUCCUUGCCUUGGGACCAUGGCCACCCCAGAGCCAUCCGAUCGAUGGAUGGGAUGCACUCUCAGACCAAGCAGCAGGAAUUCAAAGCUGCUUGCUGUAACUGUGUGAGAUUGUGAAGUGGUCUGAAUUCUGGAAUCACAAACCAAGCCAUGCUGGUGG
RNAcentral lists this long non-coding RNA (580 nucleotides) under Homo sapiens (human). Its description in RNAcentral is "non-protein coding lnc-RPS27L-6:1". Lineage: Eukaryota; Metazoa; Chordata; Mammalia; Primates; Hominidae. The record is from RNAcentral.